RNAcentral lists this ribosomal RNA (410 nucleotides) under uncultured bacterium. RNAcentral's name for it is "bacterial SSU rRNA". It matches the Rfam family "Bacterial small subunit ribosomal RNA", at positions 362 to 770 of the family's 1533-position model. The record is from RNAcentral.
UAUUGGUCAAUGGGCGGGAGCCUGAACCAGCCAAGCCGCGUGAGGGAAUAAGGCCCUAUGGGUCGUAAACCUCUUUUGUCGGGGAACAAAAGCGGUGACGCGUCUCCGUUUGCGUGUACCCGAAGAAAAAGCAUCGGCCAACUCCGUUCCAGCAGCCGCGGUAAUACGGAGGAUGCGAGAGUUAUCCGGAUUUAUUGGGUUUAAAGGGGGCGUAGGCGGUAUGGUAAGUCAGCGGUAAAAGCCCGGGGCUCAACCCCGGCGAGCCGUUGAAACUGCCGUGCUAGAGAGGAAGAGAAGUAGGCGGAAUGCGCAGUGUAGCGGUGAAAUGCUUAGAUAUUGCGCAGAACUCCGAUUGCGAAGGCAGCCUACCGGCUUCUGUCUGACGCUGAGGCACGAAAGCGUGGGUAUCG